Molecule: long non-coding RNA, 1405 nt
Organism: Sarcophilus harrisii (Tasmanian devil)
Lineage: Eukaryota; Metazoa; Chordata; Mammalia; Dasyuromorphia; Dasyuridae
Exons: 8
Source: RefSeq, a predicted model, not a curated record
UAUUCGUAGUCAGACUGACAGGUUGAGGACUGGGCCCUGGUCACCCUUCAGCAAAGCCCCGGUCUAGGGGUGCGGGACAAUGAAAAGGUCCAGAGAUGUAAAGUGACUUGACCAAUGAUACACAGGAUUCCCUCUGGCUACAGCAGUUCAGAGCCUGGCCUGAGUACCCCAACCUGGCAUUUUGAGAAGAUUUCAGGAAGAUGUCCCAGGAAGAGCCAUCCGGAGCUGCUGGAGAUCAAACCAGAACCUGAACAUGUUAGUCUGAUACCUCUGUACAAUAAGAUGGAGAAAGGUGAUCAAGCAGCAACCUCAAGAUGGAGAUGUACAAUAAGUGAUCUUGUGAUUAUGCUCAAGAGAAGGGUUUCUUCAAAAAGAGGGAGUAAAAGAAGCUUCCAGUUCAUGAUGUGAAUUAGGCAUGAGACAGGCAGGAAUGGAUCCAAGAAUACACCAAAAAAGGACAUAGAAGUCAAGCUGGCCAUGAGAAAUCCAGCAGUAAGGCAGUGCCACUGCAUCAGGAGAAAGGGAACAAGGAGGGACGACGUAAUCAGACUUGCUCUUUAGAAAGAUCACCUUGUCAGUUGGACAGAAGAUUUCCCCCUGAGAGCGGGGAAAGAACAGAGUUUCAGGUGUCAGAAGUGAUUUCCCACUGGACCACUAGGUAGAAACAUUGCAGGAUUGCAUGCUGGGUAAUUCAUCCAGCCAUCUCAGUAUGGAAACCUUGAGAAGUCAGAUCUCCAGGGAUUCUACUAGCAAGGGACUUGUGGACUUGGAACUAGGACUGGGCUCUACAAGCACCAAACUAAGCUAAGAACUUCAUCCCCUUCCUUUCACCAGAGACAAAGGUAAUACAAAGGGGAAAGGUGAUAAUGUCUCCCUUGUGUUGAGGGGAGAGUGAAUUGUAUACUUAUGAUUAUUCCGCUUUGUAAAAAUUCUAGUUUUAUCAUGGGGUAAUAAAUUAACUUGAUUCAGUGGACAUUUAAGAGAGCAAAAUACCCCUAGUUAUUGCUUUUGUUUUAUGACUUUCCUGAGUGUACUUAACGGAAUAGCAAUCCCAAGAUGGACAUGUCCAGCCUCAUAAACAACCUCAUAAAAAUUAUGGAGCUCAAAUUGGGAUUCAGUGUUAGUGGAGUUGUGAACUAAUCCAAUCAUUCUGGAGAGCAAUUUGGAACUAUGUCUAAAAGGUAAUCAAACUGCACAUCCUUUGAUCCAGCAAUACUAGAUCUAUAUUCGAAAAGGACUUUUAUAUAUACAAAAAUAGUAAUAGCAGCUCUUUUCCUGGUGGCAAAAUACUGGAAACUGAAGGGAUGUCCAUCAACUGGGAAGUGGCUAAAUGUAAUGAAUUGGGCAAUAAGAAAUGAUGAGAGGAAGAUUUCAAAAAAACCUGAAAAGACUUGGACAAACUGAU